RNAcentral lists this transfer-messenger RNA (381 nucleotides) under Minisyncoccales. RNAcentral's name for it is "DG-74-3 sp001302985 Standard tmRNA". It matches the Rfam family "transfer-messenger RNA". From Rfam's summary of the family: Bacterial tmRNA, also known as 10Sa RNA or SsrA, is named for its dual tRNA and mRNA-like properties. Its role is to liberate the mRNA from a stalled ribosome. To accomplish this part of the tmRNA is used as a reading frame that ends in a translation stop signal. The record is from RNAcentral. Lineage: Bacteria; Bacillati; Minisyncoccota; Minisyncoccia.
GGGGAUGAAAGGCUCGACAGAAAUUUAAGCCAAGGUAGUUCAAAUCGAGUUUUCUAGAGUCUCGUUAAAUCCCGCGUCUAUGAUGCAGGAUAAAAUUCUAGAAAAAAGUAAGUGCAAACUUAUUUAGAAAACCUGCUUUAGCUUUAGCUUAAGGCAGCAUCGAAGAUAAUCGAUUCUCGAUAGAUUAUUUGAGGUGUCAUAAGUUCCUGCGAGAUAGAUAGGCUUUAUAAGUCUCGGUAACCUAUCGAAACAUUAGAGACUGGUGAUGCUGGAGUUUUGUCUGUUUUUUGUCUAGUAUUCCAAAAAUAAAACAGACUAAAUUUGUAAAACUGCUUUUGGUAAAAUUUCUGGACGCGAGUUCAUUACUCGCCAUCUCCACAA